UGGCACGGCCGGGCCGACGGAAAAUCAUUUUCCCCUUUGUCAGCAACUUCCCUCCUCGCCCCUUUGGCCUCGAGGAGGCGGGACCGGCCCCAGCCCGUGCCCGGCGCUCGGUUUUUCGGUGCAGUUUUCGGCCGUUGGCCCCGGCUUUGCCCCCGUCGUGGUUCCGUGGGUCCCUGGGCGCCGGUUCUCCCUUCCGCCGUUUCCCCGCCGCCGUGGGGCGAGGGUUGGGGGCGGCGGGACCCUCCGCUUGGCUUUGCCGGCGUCGUCGCUUCCGUAGCGGGGCAGCUCCUGAGGAGCUUCGCUUCCUUUUGGGGCGCUCAGGGAACAGAUCUUGGGGGGGGGGAGGGGGGGGAGGAGAGAAGACAGACAAAAAAAAGGGGGUUCAGAGAAAAAGGGGUGACGGGGGUUCGGCGUUGGGGGCUGACGGACGUGUCAGUGCGUUUACUUUGAACCAAGAUCAUAGAGAACUCAAGGUUUUUUUGCUUCAUCAGCCACCGUCUGAGGGAGGAGGGGAUGUUUUGGGGGGGUUUGGUCCCCUCCGGACUCACCUUUGUCUGGUUCCUCGCCCACCUCCUGCCGAUAAUAUUCGGCGUCGCUCUCCUCCGACUGCUCGGCCGCGUCCUGCUGCUCCGACGCACCGGGAUCCUCGGCGUCGCUGUCACCAUCCUGCUGCCGUUUCCUCCGGAUCCCCGCCAGGCUCUUCUCUCUGCGGGGGUCACCGUCACGUCACGGAAUUUUACGGGGUUGGAAGGGACCUUCUGGAGAUCGUCUCCUCCAACCUCCCCAGCCAGAGCAGGGGCACCCAGAGCAGGUCCCACAGGGUCCCAUCCAGGAGGGGUUUGAAUGUCUCCAGAGAUGGAGACUCCUCCACCUCUCUGGGCAGCCUCUCCCAGGGCUCUGCCACCCUCAAAGUCAAGAAGUUCCUCCUCAUGUUGAGAUGGAACUUCUCACGUCCCAGUUUGUGCCCGUUCCCUCUUGUCCUGUCACUGGGCACCACUGGAAAAAGCCUGGCCCCAUCCUCCUGACACCCAC
RNAcentral lists this long non-coding RNA (1032 nucleotides) under Calidris pygmaea (Spoon-billed sandpiper). RNAcentral's name for it is "lncRNA (ENSCPGG00000002673.1)". Lineage: Eukaryota; Metazoa; Chordata; Aves; Charadriiformes; Scolopacidae. The record is from RNAcentral.